Molecule: transfer RNA, 53 nt
Filed under: Boodlea composita
Lineage: Eukaryota; Viridiplantae; Chlorophyta; Ulvophyceae; Cladophorales; Boodleaceae
Description: tRNA-Pro
Source: RNAcentral
GGCGAAGUGGACGAAGGGAGUUCCGUAAAACAUACGAAAAGUCGUUUGCACCA